UAGCUCAUUGUUUGCACCCACAAAAUUC
RNAcentral lists this small RNA (28 nucleotides) under Bombyx mori (domestic silkworm). RNAcentral's name for it is "ovarian small RNA-22496". Lineage: Eukaryota; Metazoa; Arthropoda; Insecta; Lepidoptera; Bombycidae. The record is from RNAcentral.